This is a long non-coding RNA of Pseudophryne corroboree (corroboree frog), 495 nucleotides long. RefSeq lists it as uncharacterized. The record is from RefSeq and is a predicted model, not a curated record. Lineage: Eukaryota; Metazoa; Chordata; Amphibia; Anura; Myobatrachidae. The transcript is spliced from 3 exons.
AGUAAAUGGUUGGAAAAUAUUUACGAAGAUGUUUGUGGAGCGGCUCUAGUGACCGUUUCAAGAAAAAACAAAGGUGACACCGCAGUCUCCGAUAAACCAGGAUCUUAAAGUCUCCGAUAGUGGCUGGGUGAACAUUCCCCAGGACCUCACGCCCUCUCUUUGGUCUCCAAUGCUAAUAUGCAGUUCCAUAAAAAAAAAAAAAAAAAAAGCUAACACCCCCCUGAAAAAAAAAAAUCCUUUAAAUUACUUUUGAAGUAAGUAAUGGGAACCAGGAGAGAGUGAAUAGAGAAAGCCUCAAUGAAAAUGGAAAGCAGGUAUAGAAAACCGUGCAUCAGCAGCAAAAAGGGGGAACCAGAUAGCAUUCAGUUCAUAUGCAGUGGGGCUAGAGCUACAAUUUCAAAGAGUAGAAAAUAUUUUUUAUGGGACGCCGCGGAUUUGAUUGUAAGGACAGCGGACGCUAAAAUGCAAAUAGCUCUAAGAACAUUUUUUUUUAAA